CCCGCGAGCCUGCAUCGUGUCGCUCCCCUCAUCCAGCGCCCGAUCUAGAUCGAGGGCAAGAGUCCCUCGAGUGCUUGUAGCUCAGCCUCCCGCUCGUUCGAGCCGUCGGUCAGCGAAGCUCCGGCGAGCCCCAUCGCCAGCGACCACAAGUCUCGGUGUGCCUCGCCCUUCCUCUCCACCUACUCUCUUCCUCCCGGCUCUCCCUCCAUCACUCAUAUUUGCCUAUCUUUCUCCGAGGGAGCCACUUUGAGCCGCCGCCAUGGAUUUUAGCGACCGAGCCAGGCCAAGCCUUGUCGUCGCCCGGAUUGGGUUCCCCGUGCCCGGAUCCGUCCAGAUCCUAUCGGUCCCCGUCGAAUUGCGCGACCGUGACCCAUCCCUGCCAUCGCUGGUCCAGCCUCGCCGCCAUGGUCGCCUCUGUGCAACGUGUGCACGCGAGGACGAUGAUGAUCCCACAACAUAUUGCCUACGUGGGCUGAAUCCAGCGCUGGCCUCGGCCUAGCGCUUCGAGGCCCAUCUUCAACCUCCAGCGCCAAGGCCCAGACAUCACACCAGCCUCGGCGUGCACCAACUCCGGCCAAAUUCCCAUUUGGUGAGGACGGCCAGCUCCUAUCCAGCGCGUGUGCCCGGUUUAUUAAGAUGCACCUGCCUGUGUCAGCCCAAGAUGCUCCAGAAUUGGCCCAUUAUUGUUUUUUCCACGUUCUGUGAAUUUAUCAAAUAUCUAGUGAAAAGCAGAAUUACAG
This 740-nucleotide long non-coding RNA is filed under the name Hordeum vulgare. Its description in RNAcentral is "long non-coding RNA (HVUL_LNC012194)". Lineage: Eukaryota; Viridiplantae; Streptophyta; Magnoliopsida; Poales; Poaceae. The record is from RNAcentral.